Molecule: ribosomal RNA, 391 nt
Filed under: uncultured eukaryote
Lineage: Eukaryota
Description: SSU rRNA
Rfam family: Eukaryotic small subunit ribosomal RNA
Source: RNAcentral
CAAUAGCGUAUAUUAAAGUUGUUGCGGUUAAAAGCUCGUAGUUGGAUUUCUGCUGAGGACGACCGGUCCGCCUCUGGUGAGUAUCUGGUUCGGCCUGGGCAUCUUCUUGGAGAACGUAGCCGCACUUGACUGUGUGGUGCGGUAUCCAGGACUUUUACUUUUGAGGAAAUUAGAGUGUUUCAAGCAGGCACACGCCUUGAAUACAUUAGCAUGGAAUAAUAAGAUAGGACCUCGGUUCUAUUUUGUUGGUUUCUAGAGCUGAGGUAAUGAUUAAUAGGGAUAGUUGGGGCGAUUCGUAUUUAACUGUCAGAGGUGAAAUUCUUGGAUUCGGUCAAGACUAACUUAUGCGAAAAGCAUUCACCAAAGGAUGUCUUCUUUAAUCAAGAACGAA